Molecule: non-coding RNA, 2021 nt
Organism: Pelobates cultripes (western spadefoot toad)
Lineage: Eukaryota; Metazoa; Chordata; Amphibia; Anura; Pelobatidae
Source: the annotation of a GenBank genome assembly
GUCACAGUCAGCAUAUGAUUGUCGUAUAUUGACUUUAAGUAUUCAAUAUCCCUUCAGUCAGCAAUAAUCAUGUUAUAAACCUUAUAAAAGCAUAAAAUACAUAUAAACAAGUUAACUAUUUAAUAUUCUUACAUUCCCCUCUUUGAGCAAUAAAACAAUUGCUCAUCUUAUCGAUAAAAUCUUACCAGGACAGAGAAACUUCCACAUGGUAUUUUCAGGGGUGCUAGUCACUCCCUGCGGGACUUUCAUUAAUUUCUUCACCUCGAUUCCCAUGUGGUAAUUCCUAAGGCCCAGUUUAAAGAUGGGUUGAUACUCUACAGUGGCAGAGAGGAGAAUUUCUAAUUGUUUCUGUUCUGCAUUAUGGAUUAAUUUCUGUACUCUCUUCCUCAAUGUACAAGUAAAGUGACAGUUAUAUAAAAUCAUACACAAUAAAAUCAGGACUAUAAUAACAAAAGGAUAGAAGAAUGAUUUCAUUAUCUGGAUCCAGUAGGGGACCAACCAGUGAAGCAUCGUACCAAUGAUGGGCUAAAUCAUUCUGAAUUUGUGAACUCACCUUAAGGAGUUCUCCUUUUAGGAUAUGUGUGGCUACCUGUGUAUGUUAUCUUUGGGAAAAAUAUAGUCCCCUGUGUAUGUGGGUGCCCACCAGGUUAAAUUCUUGGCAAAAAGAUCAUAAACUGGUACUGGUAAUGUGUUAAAUUGACAAGCUAAUUUAACAUCCUUUGAUGUUGUAUGAUAUAAUGUAAAAUAGCAUGAGCAUGAAAAAUGUGAAACAUUACCAGUUAACCAUCCAUUGCAUUUACUGGAUUGGGGUUUUAGAAGUAACCAUUCAUUAUCUGUGAGGUUACACAUUCCUCUAAUCUUCUCUAGUUUAGAAAUCGUUAGUGUGUCUUCUAAUGCCAAUCCUUGUUGUUGUAUCCAUAAAUACCUGAUGGCACAAGUACUCCAGUUACUUAGACCUGUAGUGAAUUUCAUAGUUGCAACAGUUAAAUUAUCUAAAUAAUUAUACAUUGAUUUAUCUAAAUCCAAUCCUGUAACCUGUGAUUUAACAACAGUUGGAGCCCAGUUUGCAGUAGCAUGGAAACCAGUCCCUAUAUGCAUACUGGCUGUAUUUAACUUAUUCUUGAGGGUCUCCAUAUCUAUAACUAUUUAGUAUACCCAUAGUGGUUCCAGCACCUCCUAACAGUGUGUCAUACCAUUCCCUUUUCUGCCUUUUGUUUGUUGUGUUACAUAAUGUUACAACAGGAGUAGUGAUUUUUAAUGACACAUGUACAGCUUGUAAGAAGGCAGUUGUAUUAAUAAAUGUGGACGGAAUAGGUGUGUGUGUGUGUGUCGUUGUUGACUUUUGGUUCUAUGGUAGAGGAUAAAGGACAGUAAUAAGGUGUAAAAAUAUAAGGUAGUGUAUAGUUCUCAAUUGUAGUGUCGUUCAUAAUGACUAACAUUUGUCCCCUUCUCCAAUUAAUGAUACCAGUUAUAUAAUCAUUAUUAAAAGUAAUAAGGCCUGUCUGUUUACAUUGAUAUGCAACCUUAACUGUGCACAUUUCUGCGUUAUAAGAUCUAACAAUUUUCUGUGAACCUUCAAACAAACAUAAUGCAUCGGUUUCAUUAGCUGUAGACACAUUUCAUAUGGGUAACUGGUACUUAUAAGGGUUACUAUUUGUCCAAUUCAUCCAAAUGCGUUCAGUAAAUGAAUGAUUGCAUAUUGCAUGCUGAUAGAAAGGUGGUGGAGAAAGGUUCUUGAGGGGGCGUGUGUGACGAAUGCUAGAUGAGGGCUAAGGCCUAAUUGGGCUGGGGGUAUUGAAGAAUUGUUCAUCAUGUCAGAGUCUUUUUCAGAAACAACAGGUUUCAAACUUGCCAUUGACUUGUACUCAUAAUGGCAUUCAAGGAACAAUAUCAGAGGGAGUAUAACAACUCCAGAAAGCAUAGCGCACAACAUAAUCUUGGUCUCAGGUACGUAUGAUCCUCUCAAUCUACGAUAUGGUGUAAAAGCCAUGAUGCUUCGCUGAGGAGAAAUUCUUCUGUUU